This 477-nucleotide ribosomal RNA is filed under the name uncultured bacterium. RNAcentral describes it as "partial 16S ribosomal RNA". It matches the Rfam family "Bacterial small subunit ribosomal RNA", at positions 28 to 507 of the family's 1533-position model. The record is from RNAcentral.
GAUGAACGCUGGCGGCGUGCCUAACACAUGCGAGUCGAACGAGAUGCGUAUUGGAAAGCUUCGGCCGGAAGAUGCGUUAUCUAGUGGCGGACGGGUGAGUAACACGUGGGUAACCUGCCUUAUGGAGGGGGAUAACAGAGAGAAAUCACUGCUAAUACCGCAUAAGCACACAUUGCCGCAUGGCAGAGUGUGAAAAGAUUUAUCGCCAUAAGAUGGACCCGCGUCUGAUUAGCCAGUUGGCAGGGUAAAAGCCUACCAAAGCAACGAUCAGUAGCCGAUCUGAGAGGAUGACCGGCCACAUUGGGACUGAGACACGGCCCAAACUCCUACGGGAGGCAGCAGUGGGGAAUAUUGCACAAUGGGGGAAACCCUGAUGCAGCGACGCCGCGUGAGUGAAGAAGUAUUUCGGUAUGUAAAGCUCUAUCAGCAGGGAAGAUAAUGACAGUACCUGACUAAGAAGCCCCGGCUAACUACGUG